UUUAAAUGAUUUUAAAAAGGUUCCACAGUAUUGCAGGUGAAUGAUGUAAACCAUAUGAAAUAAAAGAUUAUGAAUUAUAAUUCUGUUUAAUGAUGGUGCUGCAGCCUCAGAAUGGGAUUAGUAGGCCCAGGACUUUUACAGAUUAUAGGUUCAACACAAUUUCACCAGUAAUAUUAUACUUAGGAUUAAAUAUGAAAUUAAUACACUAUAUUGGAAUUUAUGCAUUUACUCUUGAAGCAAUUUUCUCCAACGCA
Molecule: long non-coding RNA, 254 nt
Organism: Etheostoma spectabile (orangethroat darter)
Lineage: Eukaryota; Metazoa; Chordata; Actinopteri; Perciformes; Percidae
Exons: 3
Source: RefSeq, a predicted model, not a curated record